This 618-nucleotide ribosomal RNA is filed under the name uncultured Actinomycetes bacterium. RNAcentral describes it as "bacterial SSU rRNA". It matches the Rfam family "Bacterial small subunit ribosomal RNA", at positions 556 to 1177 of the family's 1533-position model. The record is from RNAcentral. Lineage: Bacteria; Bacillati; Actinomycetota; Actinomycetes.
GGGCGUAAAGAGCUCGUAGGUGGUCGAUCACGUCGGAUGUGAAAAUCUGAGGCUUAACCUCAGACCUGCAUUCGAUACGGGUUGACUAGAGUGUGGUAGGGGAGACUGGAAUUCCUGGUGUAGCGGUGGAAUGCGCAGAUAUCAGGAGGAACACCGAUGGCGAAGGCAGGUCUCUGGGCCAUUACUGACACUGAGGAGCGAAAGCGUGGGGAGCGAACAGGAUUAGAUACCCUGGUAGUCCACGCCGUAAACGGUGGGCGCUAGUUGUGGGAACCUUCCACGGUUUCUGCGACGCAGCUAACGCAUUAAGCGCCCCGCCUGGGGAGUACGGUCGCAAGACUAAAACUCAAAGAAAUUGACGGGGCCCCGCACAAGCAGCGGAGCAUGCGGCUUAAUUCGACGCAACGCGAAGAACCUUACCAAGGCUUGACAUAUACAGGAAUACGGCAGAGAUGUCGUAGCCGCAAGGUCUGUAUACAGGUGGUGCAUGGUUGUCGUCAGCUCGUGUCGUGAGAUGUUGGGUUAAGUCCCGCAACGAGCGCAACCCUCGUCCUGUGUUACCAGCAUUUAGUUGGGGACUCACAGGAGACUGCCGGGGUCAACUCGGAGGAAGGUAAU